RNAcentral lists this long non-coding RNA (8761 nucleotides) under Xyrichtys novacula (pearly razorfish). Lineage: Eukaryota; Metazoa; Chordata; Actinopteri; Labriformes; Labridae. The record is from RNAcentral.
CAACAAACUUGCUGCAGCAGAUCACACGAAGGGGACAAAACUGGAUCAAGUAAAGAGCAAAGUUGAUUAUUGAACGUGAAAGAAAGAAAUUUAUUUGUAAGUAUAAGAAAUUUCAGAUUAUAGAAUUAACUUCAAUUCUAUGCCUAACAGAGGAGUAGUUCUGAACAAGGAAUUUGAGUUUAAUUUUAGUCAUUUUAAGAAAAUUAAGGUUGAUUUUAGUCCUGUUUGAGUCUUUUUGCCUCACACUGUUUCAGUCAAAAAUCAAUCAGAGGAACUCGGUUACUAUUCUUAAAUGAAGUUGAUGUUUUUGUUAAAACUUAAUAAGGAUAUGUCUUCUAGUUGUUAAAAAUUUGGAGACAACAGAAUAUCCUACUUGUUCAAAUGUUUUGGCCAAAAAUAUAUAACAUUUUUGGCUGUAAAUUUACAGUAAAUUACUGGCUAUUUGGUUUACUUAUUUUCACAGCAAGUUACUGUAAAUACUUCAGAAUAAUUUAUUGCGCCUGUAUGGACUUCACAGUAAAAUUCAACAUUUCAAUAUUGUAGGGUAAACAUUAUGGUAAAAGCCUAUAAAGUGUCAUUUACUGUGAAAUAUUACAGUUAAGUACUGUAAUAAUUCACAGAGUAGCUUCGACUUUGAAUGCCUUAAAAUUGCAUUGACAAAAAACUACAAAAAAAUCUGUUUUAUUACAUAUAUUAAUGGUUGCUAAAUGACUCUGAGUUGGUACAAGUCACAGGAAGUCAUAAGCCAUAAUCUAUCCAAGUCAUAAUAAGGUGCUGAUUUUUUGUGAUGUUGGCUGCUAGCAGUAGCUUCAUUUGCCUUUUGAUAAGCUAUGCUAAACCAACUAGCUAGUUUUGGCUGCUUCCCUCUGACUGUGUUACAUCUUACUAACAUGCAACUGGUAACAAUCAUCCAACGAUAAUUACAAAGAUGCAAAGAGACAUUGAGAGUUUUACGAGCACGCAGAGAUGUGAUCAGUUAACUGGAGAGUCACUGGUUCGCACUGGCCAAACUGGAGUGAGGACACCUACCCCCCCUAACAGUUUUAGGCAUUAAAAUUAGGAAAUAAAAACCACCAAUCUUGCCAAUAUUAUUAAAAGGUAUCAAAAUGAAUUAUAGUAUAUUUCAAAUAUGUCAAAAAACUCCUGAUAGGAGCUUUAAUAAUACUUGAUUACAACAAAUAUUUUAAUAGGAUAUGACAGUAGUGUUACAAGUUGCAGUCAAGCUAACUAUUUUUACAUAAAAUAUCACAAAAUUGCAAAGAAAAAUGACAUAAUGUUGAUGUUUUGACCAAUUUUAGCCAAAAAUAUUGAUAUCACAAGGUCGAAAGGUCUCUUGUUGUAACUGUACUUAAAAAAUAAGACCUGGUUUGAAGGCACCAUUUGUCCAUUGGGGCAAUAUGAGCAGAGAUUUUGCUUUCUUUCCUCAUCAGUGUCUUUACAAUUGAGGUAAUCGGCUCUAAUUUGUCAUGAAAAACAUCUACAUCAGUGAAUAUUUAUCAUUAACAUUCUUGUUGACAUUAUUAACUUUGCUAAAGAGCUAAUACAAACCCGGAGUGGCUCUGAUGUUUAGUGAAGUAGUUAUCGAGACAAACACGGAUCUAUAUGGGAGGUUGCUGCUUCUGUGUCGGAGCAGCUUGUAUUUCUUUUCAACAAAUUUGACUUGAACGCACGUACACUUCGAUAUUUGCUCCAGCCCUGCCCUUAAAAAACAUAAAAUGACAGAAAAGCCUCAGAUAAAAUCCCAGUGUGCAUUGUAUCGGUCUUGUUUACACUGACGGAUUCCCUUACCACUUGUGUUAAAUGUAGCCCUCCGUGUUAUUCUACCGAGCAAGAAAGAAAACAAUUACUGAAAAUGAGGCCGAGUUGAGAGAGGGCCUGUGUGUAAAAUAACAAAGACGUGCGACUGUUUGGAUCUGAUAAGCUCUGUCGAGUGUUUCCUCUAAUGCCUCUGAAAAUAAACAGCUGGGUUGAUGAGGUGAAUGGAGGCUUGGUUCAGGUCCUAACCGCGGACUGAGCCCGGGAGCUUGUUUUAGGGGUUGGACCGGCGAGGAGCAGCUAAGGGCCCCCAUCAGUGGCUCAGGCGCCGAGUGAGUUAAACAGGUUAGUGUGUUGGCCGUCUGAACCUGCUGGGACACACACACUUUCACAGUAACACACUCGGGCAGAACUACAUGUACAUGCAGAUAGAAGAGAAACACAGGAAUGAGAGCGGCAUUCCCAGAGCUCCCAGCUGUUGACUGUGAGAUUCUGUCUGUCAUCGACUACAAGAUUAAGAUGCCUUUAUGCUCUUAUGUAAAGUAUGAAUGACGUGUGUCAUGGCUCUGCUUAUCACAAAAUGGAUCUUGGCUUUCAAAACACAUUUCUGACAUCAUUCCUGCAGACACAUCUCCAUAUAAACAUUACUGUCUCUGAAAUCUUACAGGGAUAAACAAACAGUCCGAGAACUGCUGAUUUUUAUCUCAGAUUUUGUCAUAAUCUCUUCAAAUUAACUCCACUUUCUUAUCUUUUCUUGAAUAUAACAUGUUUUUAUCAUUCAUUACUUGAUUGCAGUUUGAUUUUAUCUAUGGUGUCCACCCAUCUGCACAUUUUUUCCGCAAUAUAACAUUGUACGAAUUUUAACUGCUUUGUAAUCAGCAGAAAUGAGAACAAUAAAAAGACGUCACUUGCAGCCAAAAGCUGACUUUGCUCUUUCGACUUAUCACCUGCUUUAAUUUUAACACCCAGGAUUAAAGCAAACUAAGAGGACACCGGACACCUCAAUAAAACUGAUAUUUUACUGGCAUAUUAAUCAUCUGUGAGGGCUCAGAAACUAAGCUGCUGCAGAAGUGACACUUUCAUGAUAAUACAUGCAUUCGAUUUUGAGUCUUUCCAGCUUUAGAUGAUGCCCUUAAUUAAUGAAAAAUGGUGAUAACAAAUUAUAAUUGUAGAGAAAGUUAAACCUGAAUUUGUAGACCCAGAUGUCCAACAUAGAUCGGACAUGGUAUAGGAAGGCCUGGUAUGAAACUUGCUGAUGUUUCUAUCCAGUUUUUGGUGAAGUAUAAGAAUAAAACCAAAGACUUUUAGCUUGAAAAGAAUCCAGCCAAAGAUACAUCUUAAUAUUUGCAAAUUCCCACUAUGGAGCCGUUUAUGCAAUGUGCUGAAUGAUUAAAAACUUAUGCAAGAGUCACAACUCCAGACUGAGUCAUGUGGACAUGUCCUGUAAGAGGAUAGCAAACAUCUAUGCUGGCUAGAAAAACAGACACCUUAUGCCGUAAUAAAUAAGAGAUUUAUCAUCAUUCAUUCACACUAAUGGAAGGCUAAGUACGUGCUUAUGUGCACAAGUUGGGAUGUGUUGUAACAUCAGGCUAAAACUAUGCAAAGUCUUUGGUCCUGUGUAUGAAUCUGUUGUGUCGCCUAACUGGAAUCUCUGUAUGCAGGGCGGUAUGAGUUGGAUGGACUUAAGAAGUUGUAGCUUGGUUGCAGGGACAGAUCCAGGGGGUUAGCCAAGGUGGUCUGGGCCCCUUUUAAAAUCUGACUGGCCACCCUAAGUACAACCCAAAAUCUUAAAUAAACCUUUCUGACAAAACAAGUAGGUUUUUUGCAUUAAAUGUAAUUUCGGAUGGUAAUGAAAGCCUCUACUUUGACUUAUUAUGAUUAAGUUUUUAAAUGUACAUUACGAAACGUUUUGCCCCCAAACCACAUACAUAGUACUCAUCCACACAAUCAAGCGACAAUAUUCCUCACCAUACAUUUUGAACAAUUGUGUCUGAUACUCCCUACUCUCAUCUCAUGUGUGUUUUUGCUCUGCUUGCCUUUUUUGCUGCUGUACCAUAAUCUUUUAUGUCUCUCUUUUUUUGUUGUUGUUUUUGUCUCUUGUUUUUGUCUUCUUUGGUGCUGUUUCUUAAAUUUCUUAUUAUUUUUGUUUCAAUUAUUAUUCAGAUUGCAUUUCGCUCCUUUGCAUGUCUUGUUAAAUGUUUGCAAUAAAAAAAAGACAUAAUUAUGAAAUCUACGUUGUGCAAACUACUGCGAUAGUGACAUCAAAUCAGUGCGCCAUAGCUCCCCCAGCGGUCAAAAACUAAACAGCGUAACGCAAAUGAGAAAGUCAUGUCAGUGAUCCAGUGUUUCCAAGCGUUUGUCUGAUCUUGUCGGAGUAUUCGAGCUGACCAGACAGACCAGGUCUCACAAGUGAGUGCCACUGAAUCACCUUGAAGGUGUGUGUGUGUUGUGUUUAACCCAAUAUAUUCUGACCUCAUCCUCCCUUUAGAUGGCUCUAAAAAUAGCGUUUCAGAGAGUCUGGACACCCACGCCCAGCUGGUGUCACACCUGUAUGUGACACGUAGGCGUGUAAAACUGCAUUGAAGGUGAGUUUGUUCAGAGAUUUCAUAACUCGGUAUAACAAAGCUUGUGGUUGUUUAUUUAGAAAGCUGUAUAAAUUAAAAGCCGGCGGUUUUUAUGGUCUAAGGUUCUGAGGAUGAAUAUUUCUCUGUCAUACUGCGCAUAGACAAGACAAAAUAAAUUAAAUACCACCGUCCAACUUCCUUGACAUUAUCGGCUCAUCAGGGCGAGUGAUGUGAGCAAGACAGAGAGAAUGUGGGAAUUUCACCGUCAGACAGGUAGAGACAGGACAGGGCUGCCAGCACACAGGAACUUUAAUUCAUUCAUAAAAACCGCAGAAAACAAAACAUGCUUUAUCAUCCUGACAUGCUGCGUCUCUCAACCUGUCCGGCUGGCUCUUUCUCAGCACUUCUUUACCCCCCUUUUGUGAUUCAGCUUCUGAAGAUUAAAGAAUUUAAGAGGAAAGGGAUGAAAAGGUUAUGUUGUUUUGUAUAAACAUGUUAAGUAUUAAAAAUGUAGCUAGAGUCAUGAAACAAUAAAAAAAUGCCACUGGAGACAUUUGGUUUGUGGUCAAGAGACAGGAUGUCCCAGAUCUGUCUGUUUGGAGAAAAUAUUACUAUAAUUGUAUGAUAUUUUAACGUCAAUUUGUGCAACAAUUAUAAUAUAGAAAGACUGAAUCUUGAAUAUAGGGUUUAUUUUAAAUGUCGGCUGAAUUAAGUGAGUGACACUGCGUCAGUGUAGAUGCAGCUAACAACAGAGAAGUGAUAAUGGUUGGUCGGUAACACUCGUCUGUGCUUCCAGCUGCACCAUUCUGAGGAAGUUCAGGGCCCAGCUCUGGCUCUGAUUGCUCGUUUGAGUUCACAGGCUUAAAUAAAGACACUUAAUCACAAACGCUCGGUGGAGUUUUUUCUUCUCCUGGAUUGUGCUGGACUUUGCCAAGACCUCAGGCAGUCACAUCUCUGGAUUGGAGGUAAAAUAUUCCCUUUAGAUUACUCAAUGACUCACAAAAAUAACUGUCUUGAGAGAAAUAUGAUACACGUAUCAUUUAGAUUUAAACACAACACGGCAAUUAUGCCAGAUUUUAGCCAACAUGUGCUUUACCGCACAUGUUUGAGGCACAGUCAUGAAUUUUACAACCGUAUUAAAUGCAGGUCUGUUUAUACAUGUUACAGAACAAUUUAACCUACAGAUUCAUUAAACUGAAAUAUGCGAGGGUUAUUAUACACAUUACUGAUGUACCUGAGCUAAUGAGGAAUUUCUCUGUAACUACUCAGUGUGAUGUUUCCCUGAGGGGGCACAGUAAGAGUAAUUCCUGAUUAAGUCAUUUGUAAUGAAAAAGCUAAUCACUAGACAGCAUUUGUUAUUCUGAUUUGCAAAAAUCCAUGUGGUAAAAAAGCUUUAGUGUCUCAUCAUUAUCUUCUGUUUGGCCAUCUAUAUGGGAAUACCUCUUCACUGUAAAAACUCAAAUCUAAGUAAAUGUUUCUGUCUUAACUUUAGGUUUAAAUUCAGCCAAAUUCCCCUGACAUGUCCAGAAAAAUGUCUCACUUCAAGAUAUUACCUGCCAAAACUAUGACCUGAAUUGCUUAUAACGAGUAAAAAUUAAUCUGCCAAUAGAAUAGGGAAAAGAAUCAAACAAGAUAUUUUCACAUUUCAAGGAACUUGAUAUUUAUUUGGAUUAAUUUGAGAUUUUAUCAAAGUCUAUUGGCCGAUUUUCUUACUCAAAAUGAACAUUAAAAAAAAAAAAUGUUGGUGUGUAAUAUUUUAAAAUGAAAUAUUUUGGACCCGUCGAGUGAAUUCAGCCUGAACUGAGACUGAUAGACAUUGAUAAGUACAAAAAAGUCUUUGCAGUCUGAUAACUGUUUAUUUCUCAGGAUGCUCUUGGUUUUCCUGCCACUUGUUCAUUCUUUCCGGAAACUUUUGAUUUUGGCACCACGUGUGGACAAAACCUGAAGUUUUUGUUGAUUCAAUCUUGUGCAUGUAAAGAGAGUGGUAUAAAGCAGAAAACAUACUUUUUAUUGCUAAUUGCAUCACUUGCUGUAAGUUUUUAUGGUGGAAAAUGUAGUCCUAUUAAAUUAAUCAAUUCAACACGAAAAAUUAGACAAAAAUCGAUCAUAUGUUUACUUUGGAAUGUCAUAUAGAAAUAUUUCUAAUAUACAAUUCAUAAUGUUUAAAAGCAAAGCAAAAUCCCCUUAUAGGACCAUGUUUUUAAUUUUAUUACAGAUGAAUCCUAGAUUGUAUUUUUUUUUUAUAUUUGGCUGUAAACCACAUUUAUGCUUAAAUACCUCACAUUACAUUUCAUUAGCUCGGGGUUACAUUCAAAUUUCAUAUAGUUUCAGUUGCUUUCCAUUAGAAGACAAUAGAUUCAUGCAGAUUUGGGUCACAACAGAUAAACAGCAUCGAAAGGGCUGAAUUAAAAUCUCAACGUUGACAUGUGAACAUAACGAAGUAUGACCUCACUGCCAAGCCAGCUGGUGCUUCUCUUUAAUAUCCCAAAUCAUAACAAAAUUGCAUUACAGAUCAAAAUAACUGCAAAUUUUACAUUAAGUUACUAAGCCCUAAUUUUGACAUACUGUUAAAAACCGAAUGAGACUCUUAUUACAGGUUGUCAGUUGCGGUUUUGGGCCACUCGAACAGGUGCUGAUCAAAUCAAAUUGAUCCUACUCUUCAAGUCAAACAUAUAAAAACAGGAAAAACAAGGUGACAGCACUCCGACUUGGCCUCUUCCCUUUCUCAACAACACCAAUUUCCCGAACAGCCAACAAAACCUGCUGAUCAGCUCCCACUGAGCUGUUUUUCUUAUGAAUAGAAGUCAAUUAAAUCUCUGACAAUUUCUGGUGGUCCUUUUUUAUUGUUCUGACACUUUCUACAUAACUGUUUACAGGGUGGGCAAGGCUGUCUGCCCACAGCAUAUAAAAACGGCCCAACACACCUGGAAAAUAAAAUGCUGCUGGAAAACGCUUGUCUUCCAGGGCAACAUAAAAUUCUGCCACCUCUACUCAUGACUAAUUGGCUGUUAACACUGUUUUAACAAACCUGAGCUGCAGUGUUACACUGAUGUGCAAAUGAACAGGCGUGAUUGGAAGAGACGUCAACCAGCGCUGGCAAAAUGGAAACCAGUAGUCGGUUAAAAAUGGGUGUGAGGCGCUGCUGUAUUUCUCUUAUGCAGAUGACGUCACGGUGUUUACCCUCCAAACAUCUCUAGUAGGUGAUUUAUCUGAACAACAUGUUCAGCUGACUGGAUCUGUACGGCAUGUCCAGGGAGCGGAUACUAUUUCAGGUUUUUGGCAGCCUGUUGACGACUGUUUCUUCAUAGAUAUCAGAUAAUAGCUUACCUGGACUGAAAGGUCAAUAAAAGAUGUUUUUUAAUGUUGUCUUGAUUGGAAAUAAAAUAUCAGGUUUUGAUUCUUUUGCUGUCUAGUGGUUGCAUGAUGCGGAUGGCAUAGCGUUGCAACAUAUCAACGUGCAGCCAACUGUAUUUGUACAGCAUGUUCAGGUAUGUGUAUCAUAUUUCAGGUGUUUUUCAGGUGUUGCGAGUCAUCGACUCUUUCAUAAUGCAAAUGGUGCAACAGUUAAAAGGGUUGUAAGCCCUUAGCGGUCAAAACUGCAAAAUUUCAUCACUUUAGCAAAUUAGCUCUAGAAUUACUGGUCUGUUCAACAAGUUUAUUUUAUUUUUUAGCUGUAGGCCUAAGAUUUCCACCACAGUCAGCUGUGGUUUAAGGUAAAUAUCCUGCUGUAAUAAUGCUCCACUACCCAGAUGUAAUCAAGCACAGGUGACAGAUAGAAACUCUGUCAAGAAAUAGGGAUGUACGUGGGCUACAUCUAGUUAAUUGCUUUUAGCGAUUACACAACCAGCAUGGCACGGACAGUCCAGACCUAUUGCUGGUGGUGCUAGCUCUGCCAGUGUUAGCUACACCCUGUAUCCAAUCAGCCAAAGAGGCUCUGAUGCAGAGUUUAGUCAUGGUCAGUCAAAUUAACUGUAAUCUGAGUCUUUAGCUCAGUCAGCUCGCCAGAAUUCAAUUUUUUAUCUGAAUGACUUCUGAGGUGUUUUAAGCUAAAUGUGAGUUUUAAUGCUAGUGGGUUUACUGUGUUUAUUCUAUGCAGAUGACACCAUCUUGUACAAAUGCCUCUUCGUGAACAACACAGUUAAUACCGAUUUGAUAUCCUCACUUUUUCCUCAAUUUCCUGUUCUUCCUGUUCACACUGUACACGUCAGACUUCAAAUACAGUACUGAGUCCUGCCACGUCCAGAAAUACUCAGAUGACACCGCUAUUGUGGCAUGUAUCAGAAAUGGACAAGAAGCUGAAUACAGAGAUCUAAUAAGAGCCUUCAGUGACUGGAGUCACAAAAACUGCCUCCUCCUCAACACCUCAAAGACAAAGGAGAUGGUCGUAGAUCCAACAAAAAAACAUAAUAUGUGAGACAACAGACGAUUGUAUUUCCCUUCGG